This 610-nucleotide ribosomal RNA is filed under the name uncultured Planctomycetota bacterium. Its description in RNAcentral is "bacterial SSU rRNA". It matches the Rfam family "Bacterial small subunit ribosomal RNA", at positions 26 to 640 of the family's 1533-position model. Lineage: Bacteria; Pseudomonadati; Planctomycetota. The record is from RNAcentral.
GAAGUAACGUUGGCGGCGUGGACCAGGCAUGCAAAGUCGCACGAGAAGUCUUCUUUGCUUGCAUUAGAGGACGGAAAGUGGGAAAGGGAGAGUAACGCGUGGAUAACCUGCCCUCGGGUCUGGGAUAGCUGCGGGAAACCGCAGGUAAUACCGGAUAACGUCCCCGGACCAAAGGUGCGAUUCCGCCUGAGGAUGGGUCCGCGUCCUAUUAGCUUGUAGGUGAGGUAACGGCUUACCAAGGCAAAGAUGGGUAGCGGGUGUGAGAGCAUGACCCGUCUCACUGGGACUGAGACACUGCCCAGACACCUACGGGUGGCUGCAGUCGAGAAUCUUCCGCAAUGGACGAAAGUCUGACGGAGCGACGCCGCGUGCGGGAUGAAGGCCUUCGGGUUGUAAACCGCUGUCAGAUGGGAGGAAAUGCAUAGGGGUACUCUCCUAUGUUAGACCGAUCUUCAGAGGAAGUCCGGGCUCAGUUCGUGCCAGCAGCCGCGGUAAGACGAACCGGACGAACGUUAUUCGGAAUCACUGGGCUUCAAGAGUGCGUAAGCGGCUAUGAAGGUAGGGUGUGAAAUCCCAAGAUCACUGUGGAAAUGCGCUCAAAAACACAGGG